Molecule: ribosomal RNA, 499 nt
Filed under: uncultured bacterium
Lineage: Bacteria
Description: bacterial SSU rRNA
Rfam family: Bacterial small subunit ribosomal RNA
Source: RNAcentral
CAGGACGAACGCUGGCGGCGUGCUUAACACAUGCAAGUCGAACGGGGAUUAGUUGGUUGAGAGCUCGGCAGGAUACCGAUUAAUUCGAGUGGCGGACGGGUGAGUAACGCGUGAGCAACCUGUCCCAGACAGGGGGAUAACACUUGGAAACAGGUGCUAAUACCGCAUAAGACCACGGUAGGACAUCCUACAGGGGUAAAAGGAGCAAUCCGGUUUGGGGUGGGCUCGCGUCCGAUUAGAUAGUUGGUGAGGUAACGGCCCACCAAGUCGACGAUCGGUAGCCGACCUGAGAGGGUGAUCGGCCACAUUGGAACUGAGAGACGGUCCAAACUCCUACGGGAGGCAGCAGUGGGGAAUAUUGGGCAAUGGGCGAAAGCCCUGACCCAGCAACGCCGCGUGAGUGAAGAAGGCCUUCGGGUUGUAAAGCUCUGUUAUAGUUGACGAAGGAAGUGACGGUAGGCUAUAAGGAAACCCCGGCUAACUACGUGCCAGCCGCGGC